CAGGGAAGCAGGAAGGUCUGUGUGUGUGACACGCAUUCCAGGCCAUCUGCCUGCACAUUCACUAAGAGUGGGUGAGUGCAGCCUUCCCAAGAAUUUACACAGAUUGCUUUUUUUAAAAUUGUGGAGACAGGUUUUGUUUUGUUUUUUUAAAUGUUUUUCUUUGUGUUUGGCCAACUUCUGUAAUAUUUAGGUCAUGCCUCUUCCUGCUCUACUGGGCAGACUGUUGAGAUGGGGAACUCAGUCUGGCUAGCGUUUGGCUGGAUCAGACCUGGGUCAAGGUUAUGAGCUGGUUAUGAGCCGACUGUAUGGAGAGGAGCCUCAGCUUAUUUUCACUCUAGUGGCGAGUCCAGAGUCGUCCCAGCUUUUGCACCACUUCCCUCAUCCUCACUGCAGAUGGAGGGGGAAGCCAGGCCAGGAUGAGCAUGAUUGCUCUGUGUGGGGGAUGGCGGGGGCUCAAAGUGACAUGGAUCACGCUCUCUAGCAGGAUCCAUUCUCUGUAAUUCACCUGAGGGAGGAGCCUUUAUCUGUGUUAUGCAUCCCUUUGCAUGAGAGUAAUAACUAAUCACAAUGGUAGAGUCAAACACAGGCCCAAGAACGCACUGUUCUCUUCCUCAACCAACGCUCAGCUGGUAUUAACGUUCCCAUUUUGCAGAUAAGGACGUGAACUCACAGAGAUCAAGAAUUUGACUGAUAAGGUCAGAGAGCUAUGAGAAACACAGCUGGGAUCAGAACCAUCUUUGGGGAGUUUCCGCUGUGGCUCAGCAGCAAUGAACCCUGCUGUUAUCCAUGAGGAUGUGGUUCGAUCCCUGGCCUCGCUCAGUGGGUUAAGGACCCGGUGUUGCCGUGAGCUGUGGUGUAGGUUGCAGCUCUGAUUCUACCCCUAGCCUGGGAACUUCCAUAUGCUACGGGUGUUGCCCUAAAAAGACAAAAACAAAGCAAAACAAAACAAAAAGAACCAUGUUUUUGAUUCUUAAAUCUAGGCUGGGGUUUCUCAACCUUGGCACUGUUGAUACUUGGGGACAGAUAAUUCUUCAUUGUGGGGCUAUCCCAUACGUGGUAGGAUGUUCCCAGACCUCUACCCACUGGAUGCCAAUGACACUUUCCCCACUCCCACCAAUCCAAAACCCCAGAAUGUCUCCCUCCAGACAUUACCCCAGUUGCGGGCCACUAACCUAGUCCUUUCCAUGGGAAAAUUUCCAUUGUAUACCUCCACAAAGAACACGCUUAGGGGUAGCCUUCAGCACCUAACUCUGGGCAACAUCGGAGCCCAGCCUUCUGGUUUUCCUUUCAGUCUCUCCUUCAAACAGCUCUUCUGCUCACCAGUCCUACAGGCAGUUAUGUCAUUCAUUCAUUCACUCAUUUAUUCAAUGACUAUGUAUUGAAUGCCUACUCCACACUGGGAGACAUGGAAAUAAAUGAAAACUCCUAUCCUUUGGGGGAAGUUAUGUUCCAGGGAACAGAAAACACUAAACAGAUGUUAUAACCCCUGUACCUGCACAAAUUAUUUGCAUUCUCACAGCAGCCGUUGUUAUUUCACUUGUAGGUUAAAUAGCUGUCUGGGGUCUCAGCCAGGAAAUAGUGGAGUUGAGAGUUAAACCCAGGACAGUGGCUCCAGGCCUGUGCACCUGACAGCUGCAUUCUCCUGCAUUUCCAAAUUUGUAUCUUCGUUCUGCCUCUCCUUCAAUUGCUUUGAAUAUUGCCACAUAGUGUCCUGGAGUCUUUUCAGACUCAUUGGUUAACCUAAAGUUGUCAUCUUCUCCCCCAAAUCAGCUGUCUGCUUUUAUCUAUCCCAGUAGCAUUGCCGUUCUCCCUGUAAACCAAGCUCAGCAUUGCGUUUCCGUCAUGGAGUCAUGACCUUCUCCAUUCCUGUAACAUCUCCAUUCUCAAGUCCUGUUGGCUUUGAAGACAAAUCUCUUAUCUUCAUCCCAGUGACCCAAAAAGGCAAGCCCAAUUUUUACUCCUUUUUUAUAGAUGAGGACAGUAAGGAUCCAAGAGGUCAAGUGCCUUGCUCAAGGCCACACAGCUAAAAGAAGUUAAAACUUAACCCCUAUCCUUUGAUCACAGACUUUGCACUAUGAACAAAUUGUUUCAGGUAGAAAUUUACAUCUCUGAAUCUGCCUCAGGAGCCCAGAGAAGGAAAGGACUACAGCUUAAGCCAUGUCUGGAUCUCUUACACAGAAUUGGGGACUUGUGUUGACUCAAAGAACUGGAACUAUGAAGUCCAAAUUGUCAGGACACAACUCCGAUGUGGUGUCCUAAAAAUUACUGCUCUGACAUUCCACCAGAUGGCAGUAUUUUCCCCGUGAAAGAGGACAUGAGGCCAUGUCACAGAGAGGCUUGGUUGAAGUGACCAAAGAAUUUGAAUUUGAAGUGGUUUCCAACCACACACACACACACACACACACACACACACACACACACACACACACACCACACACACACUGUUUAAAAUCUUGCUGAACUUAAAAUGCUGAUGAAAUCUUGAGGACUAUGCGGUGGAGCAUAAAUGUAAUUCGACCUCUAGUCAGACCUUUGGCAUUUCCUAGCUAGAAGACCCUGUGGAAAUCUCUUAAUGUCUCAGCUUUUAUUUUCCUAUCUGCAAAGUGGGUAUAAGAAUAUCCGCUUAGUCCCCCUCACAGACAGGGCUAUCGUGAAACUGAAAUUGGCUAUGUGUGAAACUAUAGAUGACUUUGUAGAUAUACACUCUUACAAUGUUGGAUGCUAUGAAAUUAAUUUAACUGUUUGUUCAGUAAUUAGUUUUGUAGAAACGCUUUCCCUAAAGCCUUGCUACUCUUAAGUGUGGUCUGCAGACCAGCAGAUCUGUAUCACCUGAGAGUUUGUUAGAAUUACAGAAUAUAACUCAUCUUGGACUACUGCAUUUUAAUGCUGUGUAUUUUAACAAGAUCCUGAGGUGGUUCAUAUGCAUCAUAAAGUUUUGAUACUGGCUAGAAAAUUCUUAGGUUUAGUGAAUAAAGAAAAUAGCAAGAAAAACAAGUUCUGGAGUUCGUUUGGGAGUUAACACUGAGUUCGUUCAGUUCAGUGUUGCCCAUAAUACGAGACGUGUUCACCAUGAUGAGCCUGAGGCACCUUAAGCAAAUUGUUUCCAAAGCUCAAAAAAGGUCUCUGUGUCCCAAGUUAUGACUUAGGGAGAGUGAAUGGAGGUUGAAAACAUUCUGGAGUUGAAAUCAGUCAGGUCAGACUAGGCUAUGCUGUGAUGACAAACAACCUGACAUUUUGGUGGCUUUAAAACCUGAUAGGUAUGUUGGCAUGACAUGAAGCAGGGGGCUCUGCUCAGGCACUCAGGACCCAGGCAGGUGGAGCUGCCGCCAUCCCAAACAGUGCAUGAAAAGAGCUCCAGAGAGUGAAGUGCACUGGUGGGAAGAUGUUCCACCUGGAAAUGAUACAUGGGGUGGGGGUGGGGAGCAGGAAGCGCAAUCCUCUCCUGUGUUUGGAAGGUCAACAACUAGAAAUAUUCAGUGAACAGCACUGAUAACCACCACAAAGGUUAUCUCUGAGCUGUUCAGAGCAGCAGCUCCCAGGACAGGAGAACUGACCAGGGACAGCUCAUUAAAUGUACAGAUCCCAGAGCCCCACACCAGGGAUCCAGCUAGAACCAGGAAUCUGUUUUACCGAGAGCCCCAGGUGAUUCGGAUGCACUCUUUCCACAGACCAGCAUCUGGAAACCACUGAGUUUGAGCCCUCCUACCCCUCAACCCCAUCUUGAACGUAAAAGUCACUGCGUCCAUUUCUCAGGGUUGCUGUAGCAAGUUACCCCAAACUUGGUGGCUUCAAAGAACAGAAAUGCAUUCUCUCCCAGUUCUAGAAGCCAGGAGGUCUAAAAUUAAGCUCUUUCCAGAGGCUCUGAGACAGACUCUGUUCUCUGCCUCUCUCCUGGCCAGUGGUGGCUGCUGGCCAUCCUUGGUCUUUCUUGGCUUAUAACUGUAUAAUCCAAUUUCUGCCUCCAUCCUCACAUGGCCAUCUCUGUGUUUCUGUGUCUUCUGUCAUAAGGACACUUGUCAGGAGUUCCCAUCAUG
RNAcentral lists this long non-coding RNA (4034 nucleotides) under Sus scrofa (pig). RNAcentral describes it as "lncRNA (ENSSSCG00060002563.1)". The record is from RNAcentral. Lineage: Eukaryota; Metazoa; Chordata; Mammalia; Artiodactyla; Suidae.